This 255-nucleotide long non-coding RNA is filed under the name Brassica rapa (field mustard). RNAcentral describes it as "long non-coding RNA (BRAP_LNC006805)". Lineage: Eukaryota; Viridiplantae; Streptophyta; Magnoliopsida; Brassicales; Brassicaceae. The record is from RNAcentral.
UCGGUUCCAGCGGCUUUCUUCUUAGUUUUCUUUUUGGGACGCUGUACGGGUAUCGCGUCAUCCAUAGCGGUCCCCUCAUCUCGGGAAGUCGCCUCGUCGCGGGCCCUCUUCUUCUUCUUCUUCUUCUUUGUCCCUUGACCCUCGGACGACGUGGCGAGAGAAGCAGACAAAAGCGGAGAAGUCUCAUCCGCCGAUUUCUCUGUCGUCUUCUUAUCUUUCUUCUUCUUUUUGGGACUCGGAGCUGAAGGUUCGACC